RNAcentral lists this ribosomal RNA (270 nucleotides) under uncultured prokaryote. RNAcentral's name for it is "partial 16S ribosomal RNA". It matches the Rfam family "Bacterial small subunit ribosomal RNA", at positions 524 to 792 of the family's 1533-position model. The record is from RNAcentral.
UACGAGGGGAGCUAGCGUUAUUCGGAAUUACUGGGCGUAAAGGGCGCGUAGGCGGUUUGUUAAGUCAAUUGUUAAAGCCCAUGGCUUACCCAUGGAUAUGCAGUUGAUACUGGCAGACUAAGAGGGCGAGAGAGAGAAGUGGAAUUCUCGGAGUAGCGGUAAAAUGCGUAGAUCUCGAGAGGAACACCGAUGGCGAAGGCAGCUUCUUGGCUCGUACCUGACGCUGAGGCGCGAAAGCGUGGGGAGCAAACAGGAUUAGAUACCCCGGUA